Long non-coding RNA from Octopus sinensis (East Asian common octopus), 269 nucleotides. RefSeq lists it as uncharacterized. Lineage: Eukaryota; Metazoa; Mollusca; Cephalopoda; Octopoda; Octopodidae. The transcript has 2 exons. The record is from RefSeq and is a predicted model, not a curated record.
AUUACAAAAAACUACUAUCCUCUAUCGACGAAAAAGGAAUCAUAAGUUUAUCAGACGAACACUAUCAACUAAUAAACACACAAGAUAAAAACUAUUCUAUACUAAUAUUAUUUACUUCAACACAUCCAGACCAUCAAUGUACUUAUUGCAAGUCAGCUGUCGGCGAAUUACAGGUCGCAUUAGAGUCAUUUCGAAAAGAAAACGUAUUUUUCAAUGAAACAUUUUUUGCCAAGGCCGAUUUUGUAAAAGCUCGUCAAUUUUUUGUUUGG